GGGGAUGUAGCUCAGUGGUUGAGCGUCCUCCGCUUUCGCAUGCGGAAGGCCCGAGGUUCGAUCCCCCGCAUCUCCA
RNAcentral lists this transfer RNA (76 nucleotides) under Nematostella vectensis (starlet sea anemone). It matches the Rfam family "tRNA". Rfam says of the family: Transfer RNA (tRNA) molecules are approximately 80 nucleotides in length. Their secondary structure includes four short double-helical elements and three loops (D, anti-codon, and T loops). Lineage: Eukaryota; Metazoa; Cnidaria; Anthozoa; Actiniaria; Edwardsiidae. The record is from Rfam by way of RNAcentral.